This 499-nucleotide ribosomal RNA is filed under the name uncultured bacterium. RNAcentral describes it as "bacterial SSU rRNA". It matches the Rfam family "Bacterial small subunit ribosomal RNA", at positions 15 to 507 of the family's 1533-position model. The record is from RNAcentral.
GAUCAUGGCUCAGGAUGAACGCUAGCGGCAGGCUUAAUACAUGCAAGUCGUGGGGUAGCAGGUUUGUAGCAAUACAGAUGCUGGCGACCGGCAAACGGGUGCGGAACACGUACAGAACCUUCCUUUGAGCGGGGAAUAGCCCAGAGAAAUUUGGAUUAAUACCCCAUAGUAUAAUGAAGUGGCAUCACUUUAUUAGUAAAGAUUUAUCACUCGAAGAUGGCUGUGCGGCUGAUUAGGUAGUUGGCGGGGUAAAGGCCCACCAAGCCUGCGAUCAGUAACUGGUGUGAGAGCACGACCAGUCACACGGGCACUGAGACACGGGCCCGACUCCUACGGGAGGCAGCAGUAAGGAAUAUUGGUCAAUGGAGGCAACUCUGAACCAGCCAUGCCGCGUGGAGGAUGAAGGUCCUCUGGAUUGUAAACUUCUUUUAUAUGGGACGAAAAAGGCUUUCUAAGCCGUCUGACGGUACCAUAUGAAUAAGCACCGGCUAACUCCGUG